UAAUACAGAGGGGGCAAGCGUUGUUCGGAAUUACUGGGCGUAAAGGGCGCGUAGGCGGCCUUCUAAGUCAUGCGUGAAAUCCCCGGGCUCAACCCGGGAACUGCGUCUGAUACUGGAAGGCUUGAAUCCGGGAGAGGGAUGUGGAAUUCCAGGUGUAGCGGUGGAAUGCGUAGAUAUCUGGAGGAACACCGGUGGCGAAGGCGGCAUCCUGGACCGGCAUUGACGCUGAGGCGCGAAAGCUAGGGGAGCAAACGGGA
This 257-nucleotide ribosomal RNA is filed under the name uncultured prokaryote. RNAcentral describes it as "partial 16S ribosomal RNA". It matches the Rfam family "Bacterial small subunit ribosomal RNA", at positions 521 to 777 of the family's 1533-position model. The record is from RNAcentral.